Molecule: ribosomal RNA, 593 nt
Filed under: uncultured bacterium
Lineage: Bacteria
Description: bacterial SSU rRNA
Rfam family: Bacterial small subunit ribosomal RNA
Source: RNAcentral
AGUCGAGGGGCAGCGCGGGAUAGCAAUAUCCUGGCGGCGACCGGCGGCAAGGGUGCGUAACGCGUGAGCGACAUGCCCGUUGCCCGGGGACAACCGGUGGAAACGCCGACUAAUCCCCGAUGGGAUACGAUGCUUCAUGGCAUUGUAUUGAAAGUUACGGCGGCGACGGAUUGGCUCGCGUCCGAUUAGCUUGUUGGCGGGGUAACGGCCCACCAAGGCUACGAUCGGUAGGGGUUCUGAGAGGAAGGCCCCCCACAAUGGGACUGAGACACGGCCCAUACUCCUACGGGAGGCAGCAGUGAGGAAUAUUGGUCAAUGGGCGGAAGCCUGAACCAGCCAUGCCGCGUGCGGGAAGGAGGCCCUAUGGGCUGUGAACCGCUUUUGCCUGGGGGCAAUAAGGGCGUCGCGCACGCCCGAUGAGAGUACCAGGCGAAUAAGCAUCGGCUAACUCCGUGCCAGCAGCCGCGGUAAUACGGGGGAUGCGAGCGUUAUCCGGAUUCAUUGGGUUUAAAGGGUGCGUAGGCUGUGCGUCAAGUCGGGGGUGAAAUUCCGGUGCUCAACACCGGGGCUGCCCUUGAUACUGUCGCGCUGGA